UACGGAGGAUGCAAGCGUUAUCCGGAAUGAUUGGGCGUAAAGCGUCCGCAGGUGGCUGUGUAAGUCUGCUGUUAAAGAGUCUAGCUCAACUAGAUAAGAGCAGUGGAAACUACACGGCUAGAGUACGUUCGGGGCAGAGGGAAUUCCUGGUGUAGCGGUGAAAUGCGUAGAGAUCAGGAAGAACACCGGUGGCGAAGGCGCUCUGCUGGACUGCAACUGACACUCAGGGACGAAAGCUAGGGGAGCGAAUGGG
This 253-nucleotide ribosomal RNA is filed under the name uncultured bacterium. RNAcentral describes it as "partial 16S ribosomal RNA". It matches the Rfam family "Bacterial small subunit ribosomal RNA", at positions 524 to 776 of the family's 1533-position model. The record is from RNAcentral.